RNAcentral lists this unclassified non-coding RNA (244 nucleotides) under plant metagenome. RNAcentral's name for it is "partial contains small subunit ribosomal RNA and internal transcribed spacer 1". The stretch from base 1 to 46 matches the Rfam family "Eukaryotic small subunit ribosomal RNA", at positions 1786 to 1831 of the family's 1831-position model. The record is from RNAcentral.
AAGUCGUAACAAGGUUUCCGUAGGUGAACCUGCGGAAGGAUCAUUAAAAGUAUAUGGUUAUUCCUUCUGGAAUUAACAUUACAAACCCACUCUGCGUACUUUACCUGUUGCUUCCACAGAGCAUGGCCUUGUGCCAUACGGUGGUGCCCAUUCAGGGCAUUGCCGGUCGUCUCUGUGAAAGGUUUACAUCAAACUAGUUUAUUAAUUGCCUUCUGUCUGAAUGAAUAAAUAUAAAUUUUUAAAA